UACAGAGGGUGCGAGCGUUAAUCGGAAUUACUGGGCGUAAAGCGUGCGCAGGCGGCGCCGCAAGUCAGGCGUGAAAUCCCCGAGCUUAACUUGGGAAUGGCGCUUGAAACUACGGUGCUGGAGUGUGGCAGAGGGAGGUGGAAUUCCACGUGUAGCGGUGGAAUGCGUAGAGAUGUGGAGGAACACCGAUGGCGAAGGCAGCCUCCUGGGCCAACACUGACGCUCAUGCACGAAAGCGUGGGGAGCAAACAGG
RNAcentral lists this ribosomal RNA (253 nucleotides) under uncultured bacterium. RNAcentral describes it as "partial 16S ribosomal RNA". It matches the Rfam family "Bacterial small subunit ribosomal RNA", at positions 524 to 776 of the family's 1533-position model. The record is from RNAcentral.